AUAUCAGAAGGCACACCCGGAGAACUGAAACAUCUUAGUACCCGGAGGAAGAGAAAGAAAAUUCGAUUCCCUUAGUAGCGGCGAGCGAAACGGGAAGAGCCCAAACCAAAAAGCUUGCUUGUUGGGGGUGUAGGACACUCUAUACGGAGUUACAAAGGACGACAUUAGACGAAUCAUCUGGAAAGAUGAAUCAAAGAAGGUAAUAAUCCUGUAGUCGAAAAUGUUGUCUCUCUUGAG
RNAcentral lists this ribosomal RNA (237 nucleotides) under Staphylococcus aureus. RNAcentral describes it as "partial 23S ribosomal RNA". It matches the Rfam family "Bacterial large subunit ribosomal RNA", at positions 169 to 401 of the family's 2925-position model. Lineage: Bacteria; Bacillati; Bacillota; Bacilli; Caryophanales; Staphylococcaceae. The record is from RNAcentral.